CCUACGGGAGACAGCAGUGGGGAAUAUUGGGCAAUGGGCGCAAGCCUGACCCAGCAACGCCGCGUGAAGGAAGAAGGCUUUCGGGUUGUAACCUUCUUUUAAGGGGGAAGAGGAGAAGACGGUACCCCUUGAAUAAGCCACGGCUAACUACGUGCCAGCAGCCGCGGUAAUACGUAGGUGGCAAGCGUUGUCCGGAUUUACUGGGUGUAAAGGGCGUGCAGCCGGGAGGACAAGUCAGAUGUGAAAUCCCGCGGCUCAACCGCGGAACUGCAUUUGAAACUGUUUUUCUUGAGUACCGGAGAGGUCAUCGGAAUUCCUUGUGUAGCGGUGAAAUGCGUAGAUAUCACGCAGAACCCCGAUUGCGAAGGCAGCAUACCGGUGCACAACUGACGCUCAGGCACGAAAGCGUGGGUAUCGAACAGGAUUAGAUACCCUGGUAGUC
This 442-nucleotide ribosomal RNA is filed under the name uncultured bacterium. RNAcentral's name for it is "partial 16S ribosomal RNA". It matches the Rfam family "Bacterial small subunit ribosomal RNA", at positions 338 to 795 of the family's 1533-position model. The record is from RNAcentral.